GGAGGAAGCAGGGGAUCGCAAGACCUUGCGCUUUUGGAGCGGCCGAUGCCUGAUUAGCUUGUUGGUGAGGUAAAAGCUCACCAAGGCUUCGAUCAGUAGCUGGUCUGAGAGGACGACCAGCCACACUGGGACUGAGACACGGCCCAGACUCCUACGGGAGGCAGCAGUGGGGAAUUUUGGACAAUGGGGGCAACCCUGAUCCAGCCAUGCCGCGUGAGUGAAGAAGGCCUUCGGGUUGUAAAGCUCUUUCAGCCGGAACGAAACGGUUACGGUUAAUACCCGUGACUACUGACGGUACCGGAAGAAGAAGCACCGGCUAACUACGUGCCAGCAGCCGCGGUAAUACGUAGGGUGCGAGCGUUAAUCGGAAUUACUGGGCGUAAAGCGUGCGCAGGUGGUUUUGUAAGUCAGAUGUGAAAUCCCCGGGCUUAACCUGGGAACUGCGUUUGAAACUACAAAGCUAG
Molecule: ribosomal RNA, 464 nt
Filed under: uncultured bacterium
Lineage: Bacteria
Description: bacterial SSU rRNA
Rfam family: Bacterial small subunit ribosomal RNA
Source: RNAcentral